Small nucleolar RNA from Impatiens glandulifera, 88 nucleotides. RefSeq annotates it as small nucleolar RNA snoR114. The record is from RefSeq and is a predicted model, not a curated record. The transcript has a single exon. Lineage: Eukaryota; Viridiplantae; Streptophyta; Magnoliopsida; Ericales; Balsaminaceae.
GAACUAUGAUGAAAUUUGCCUCUAAUGGCUUACAAGGGUCUGCCAUGUUCAUCUGAUUUGUAUGAUGAGAAAGUAGGCUUCUGAGUUC